UUUUUUUCAGUUACAGUGUUAACUAAAAUGG
Meleagris gallopavo (turkey) is the source of this 31-nucleotide regulatory RNA element. It matches the Rfam family "Iron response element II". Rfam says of the family: IRE, TFRC, SLC40A1, SDHB, SLC11A2, CDC42BPA, ACO2, ALAS2_H.SAPIENS, CDC14A, EPAS1, ALAS2, qoxD, Hao1, NDUFS1, transferrin, Aconitate. The record is from Rfam. NCBI's taxonomy places the organism in Eukaryota, Metazoa, Chordata, Aves, Galliformes, Phasianidae.